Molecule: ribosomal RNA, 253 nt
Filed under: uncultured bacterium
Lineage: Bacteria
Description: partial 16S ribosomal RNA
Rfam family: Bacterial small subunit ribosomal RNA
Source: RNAcentral
UACAGAGGGUGCGAGCGUUAAUCGGAAUUACUGGGCGUAAAGCGUGCGUAGACGGCUAUCUAAGUCGGGUGUGAAAGCCCCGGGCUCAACCUGGGAAUUGCAUUCGAGACUGAAUAGCUAGGGUACGGUAGAGGGAAGCGGAAUUUCCGGUGUAGCGGUGAAAUGCGUAGAUAUCGGAAGGAACAUCAGUGGCGAAAGCGGCUUCCUGGACCAGUACCGACGUUCAGGCACGAAAGCGUGGGGAGCAAAUAGG